GACUGAUGAUUGUUAGGGAAAUUUCAGAGCAUACUUAUAAAUCUCUCCCAAGCUUGGUAGAUAUUCUCUUCUUUUUUCUGUCUAAAACUCAAAAUUUUGCUUCUCAAACU
This is a non-coding RNA of Capsicum annuum, 110 nucleotides long. The record is from Rfam. Lineage: Eukaryota; Viridiplantae; Streptophyta; Magnoliopsida; Solanales; Solanaceae.